Pleuronectes platessa (European plaice) is the source of this 1451-nucleotide long non-coding RNA. RefSeq lists it as uncharacterized. The record is from RefSeq and is a predicted model, not a curated record. The transcript has 4 exons. Lineage: Eukaryota; Metazoa; Chordata; Actinopteri; Pleuronectiformes; Pleuronectidae.
UCGGUCCACCGGUGUCCGCCAUUUCAUUCUUGCAAGCCUUGGAAACACUUGGAUAAGCUAACAGCAGCAUGAAUCAAUUUCGACAACCGAGAUGCUCAGUGGUCGGCUGCACAAAUCAGCACAAAUGUCUUCAUGUGACUCCAGCUUCAGAAGACACAAGAUUGAGAUGGAUUGAGUUCAUAUAUGAUGGCAACGUUCCUGCCACCACUUUGAAUCGGACUGUUUUAUCAACCUGCGCCAAUAUAACGCUGGAUUCUCUAAAAGGUUGUUAUUGAAAGAGGGGUCGGUGCCAUCUUUCCAUCGCAAUACUGAAGACGAGGGAAAUGCAAGCACAUCUGUUCACGGUGCUAGGCUACAUCACGUAGCAUGCCAGACGGACCCACCAAAGAUGCGCACACAUGGAACGCAGCUUUCUAUGAAAACACUGCGACCUCACUACAAAAGUACAGGCACACAGAAAACUGUGCUGCACUGAUGUCGGUGUUGGGACCUCAGCUGUAAGAGACCUCGUUUGGAGGAGGGAGAGGACAACCCAAGUUGUUCAAGUAUGGACUUCGGAGAGCCACAGGAUGCUACCUAUGAUCCUGAUGACUCGAUCACAGUCUUGACUGAGUCAGCAGAUGUGACAAUGGAAUCUUCCAACCCUGUUCAUAAGACACCCACAUAUAUUGUCUAUGAAAACUGCCUCCUGGAGCUGUUUGAGGUGUGUCCUGUGUGUCGGCGGGGGACAGAUGUAAUAUAUAAGAAGGGCGAGUGCACAGCAAAGCCGGUGAAAGCAGAUGCAACCUUCCGUGAUUCUCACAGGCUCUAUUUAAAAGCCAAACAGUGUACAAACAGUAUGUGAAACAUAAAUAACAUAUCGAUUAACUGCUGUCUUUAAAUUGUCUUCACGAUUUAAAGACCAUUUAUUUAUCGUCUUCACGAUAAAUAGAAUAAAAUAAUUAUAAAAAGAAAAUAAUAAAUACAAAAAGUGCAAAAUGUCCAACUUUUCCCCUCAAUUUGUAUUACAGAUCACGUGGAUAACCUGUUGGACCUCAUCUUUCACCAGGUUUUUCAGGACCCGGCCCCAUAUGUGAAUGAGGUGCUGAAGAUCUCAAAACCUGAGGACCUCUCUGCUAAGUAUGAGAAACCUGACAAGCAGGAAGUUAUAGCCAGCUAUGUGUCGAGUUUCAAUCAAGGGCAGGUCUGAACCCUGUAUAACUUCCCUGAGCAUCAGGGAACACUCUGCGUAUCUGGAGCACCGAGCAGGAGGGCAGGACCACCCUGAUUCUCCGGCCCAGAUAGCCUCAACACCAGCUAACAAAGCUUCUCUACGACAAAUACCUGUAACGGCUGAGCAAAGUUCACAUUGUAUUUAGAGAAUAAAGGUGACACACAAAUAUAAAGUGUUCCUUUGUUUACAGUAUGGCUACUGAUGGCACAAAUUGUAUUUUUGAAAUCAAUGUUUUUAU